Molecule: non-coding RNA, 508 nt
Organism: Callithrix jacchus (white-tufted-ear marmoset)
Lineage: Eukaryota; Metazoa; Chordata; Mammalia; Primates; Cebidae
Source: RefSeq, a predicted model, not a curated record
GGGGCCGCCACCAAAAUGCAGAUUUUUGUGAAAACCCUUACGGGAAAAACCAUCACCCUCGAGGUUGAACCCUCGGAUACGAUAGAAAAUGUAAAGGCCAAGAUCCAGGAUAAGGAAGGAAUUCCUCCUGAUCAGCAAAGACUGAUCUUUGCUGGCAAGCAACUGGAAGAUGGACGUACUUUGACUACAACAUUCAGAAGGAGUCUACUCUUCAUCUUGUGUUGAGACUUCGUGGUGGUGCUAAGAAAAGGAAGAAGAAGUCUUACACCACUCCCAAGAAGAAUAAGCACAAGAGAAAGAAGGUUAAGCUGGCUGUCCUGAAAUAUUACAAGGUGGAUGAGAAUGGCAAAAUUAGUCGCCUUCGUCGAGAAUGCCCUUCUGAUGAAUGUGGUGCUGGAGUGUUUAUGGCAAGCCACUUUGACAGACAUUAUUGUGGCAAAUGUUGUCUGACUUACUGCUUUAACAAACCAGAAGACAAAUAACUGAGUUAAUAAAAGACAUGAACUAA